This 385-nucleotide ribosomal RNA is filed under the name uncultured eukaryote. RNAcentral's name for it is "partial 18S ribosomal RNA". It matches the Rfam family "Eukaryotic small subunit ribosomal RNA", at positions 592 to 976 of the family's 1831-position model. The record is from RNAcentral.
CAAUAGCGUAUAUUAAAGUUGUUGCAGUUAAAAAGCUCGUAGUUGGACUUCUGCGGGUGGCGGCCGGUCGUGCCCUUUUGUGGCGUGAACUUGGCUCUUUGCCGCCCGCAUCUUUGGGGAGAUUGUGCGUGGCAUUAGGUUGUCGUGCAUGGGAUUCUCAUCAUUUACUGUGAAAAAAUUAGAGUGUUUAAAGCAGGCCUUUGCCUUGAAUACAUUAGCAUGGAAUAAUAAGAUAGGACCGUUGUCUAUUUUGUUGGUUUACAGAUGUCGGUAAUGAUUAAUAGGGAUAGUUGGGGGUAUUCGUAUUCAGUUGUCAGAGGUGAAAUUCUUGGAUUUUCGGAAGACGCACGACUGCGAAAGCAUUUACCAAGGAUGUUUUCAUUAA